GCGCGAAAACUCUCCAAUGUGCGAAAGCGUGAGAGGGGAAUUCACAGUGCUUACGGUUUAGCCGUAGGCUUUUGCCAUGUGUAAAUAGCAUGGCGAAUAAGUGGUGGGUAAGACUGGUGCCAGCCGCCGCGGUAACACCAGCGCCACGAGUGGCUAUCGCGAUUAUUGGGCCUAAAGCGUCCGUAGUCGGUUCUGUGCAUCCUCUGUGAAAUCGCAGCGCUCAACGUUGCGGCAUGCGGGGGACACGGCA
RNAcentral lists this ribosomal RNA (250 nucleotides) under uncultured bacterium. Its description in RNAcentral is "partial 16S ribosomal RNA". It matches the Rfam family "Archaeal small subunit ribosomal RNA", at positions 339 to 588 of the family's 1478-position model. The record is from RNAcentral.